This is a long non-coding RNA of Oreochromis aureus, 1162 nucleotides long. RefSeq lists it as uncharacterized. Lineage: Eukaryota; Metazoa; Chordata; Actinopteri; Cichliformes; Cichlidae. The transcript has 3 exons. The record is from RefSeq and is a predicted model, not a curated record.
GGCAACGCCGCCUCUUGGAGCUCAUCCGUAAACCGUGAUUGCAGGUAUUUGAAGUUAACCGAGGAGUCGGCUUCAGUUAUCUGAGUUUAGAGCUGAACAGAGACAGUUCUUAGAGAUUACGCAAAUGGACGUCAAACCAAAGCGCCUGCACAUGCAUCCGCAGCAGAGAAGUGGAAGACCUGCAGGAAAGAAUUGUUGAUAGCUGCUUAAUCAAAGCAACACUGGGUUUUCUGGUAAAGAGCAGAAAUGAUGGUUCCGUCGUCUCAGCCCUGAAGCAGAGAAGCAGCCCCAGACUGUCACACCACCACCACCAUGUUUGUCUGUUGAUAUAAUGUUCUUUUAUGAAAUGCUGUUUUAUGUUUUCUGCCCGAUGUAACGAGACAGAAAACUUCCAAAAACUUUUGACUUGUCAGAAUAUUUUCCCAAAAGUCUUUGGGAUUAUCAGAUGUUUUUUGGUAAAUGUGAGACGAGCCUUUGUUCUUUUUUGGCUUGAAACAUUUUUGUCCAUCUUCUUUCUUAUUGUUGAAUCAUCAACACUGAUCAUAACUGAGAUGAGUGAGGCCUGCAGUUCUUUAGAUGAAGCUCUGGGUUCUUUUGUGACCUCCUGGAUGAGUUGUGGAUAAUGGCUCUCAAUGUGGUUUCAAAACCUUGGAACUUAGAACUUUUCUUCUCAUCUGUUCUUGAGUUUCUUUAGAACGCGGCAUUCUGAAACCUUUUAGCCUACUUCCCUUUGCCACACAGGUUAUACUUUAAGUGAUUUCUUGAUUCAACAGGUCUGGCAGUAAUCAGACCUGGGUGUGGCUAGUAAAACUGAGCUGAGCUUUCCAAAAGCUUUAGUUAAUCACAGUUAAUGUAUGAUUUAACAAGAGGAGGCAAAUACUUUUCCACACAAGGCGGGGUAUGCGUGGACGGCUUUUUCCCCCUUAAUAAAUAAAAUCAUCAACUGCAUUUUGUGUGUAUUCAUGUUAUCGUUGUCUAAUAUUAACGUUUGUUUGAUGCAAAUUUGACACACAAACACAAAAAAAGAUAUCAGAAAGGGCCCAAAACAUAUGUUGUAUAUUUAUGUUUCAUGUCUUGGUAUCAUUCACCUAUUCAUUCAUUCUAAUGGAGCCUAUCUCAGCGUGUUAUCUGUGACAAUAUUUCCUUACAAAAGUUCCUUAAA